RNAcentral lists this ribosomal RNA (253 nucleotides) under uncultured bacterium. RNAcentral describes it as "partial 16S ribosomal RNA". It matches the Rfam family "Bacterial small subunit ribosomal RNA", at positions 524 to 776 of the family's 1533-position model. The record is from RNAcentral.
UACAGAGGUCUCAAGCGUUGUUCGGAUUCAUUGGGCGUAAAGGGUGCGUAGGCGGCGCGGUAAGUCGGGUGUGAAAUCUCGGAGCUUAACUCCGAAACUGCAUUCGAUACUGCCGUGCUUGAGGACUGGAGAGGAGACUGGAAUUUACGGUGUAGCGGUGAAAUACGUAGAGAUUGGGAAGAACACCAGUGGCGAAGGCGGCUAUCUGGACGGUUUCUGACACUAAGACACGAAAGCGUGGGGAGCAAACAGG